CUACGUAGGGGGCGAGCGUUGUCCGGAAUGAUUGGGCGUAAAGGGCGCGUAGGCGGCCCGGUAAGUCUGGAGUGAAAGUCCUGUUUUUAAGAUGGGAAUUGCUUUGGAUACUGUCGGGCUUGAGUGCAGGAGAGGUAAGUGGAAUUCCCAGUGUAGCGGUGAAAUGCGUAGAGAUUGGGAGGAACACCAGUGGCGAAGGCGACUUACUGGACUGUAACUGACGCUGAGGCGCGAAAGUGUGGGGAGCAAACAGGAUUAGAUACCCUGGUAGUCCACACUGUAAACGAUGAAUGCUAGGUGUAGGGGGUAUCGACCCCUUCUGUGCCGCAGUCAACACAAUAAGCAUUCCGCCUGGGGAGUACGGCCGCAAGGUUGA
Molecule: ribosomal RNA, 376 nt
Filed under: uncultured bacterium
Lineage: Bacteria
Description: partial 16S ribosomal RNA
Rfam family: Bacterial small subunit ribosomal RNA
Source: RNAcentral